GAUGAACGCUGGCGGCGUGCCUAAUACAUGCAAGUCGAGCGAACGGACGAGAAGCUUGCUUCUCUGAUGUUAGCGGCGGACGGGUGAGUAACACGUGGAUAACCUUCCUAUAAGACUGGGAUAACUUCGGGAAACCGGAGCUAAUACCGGAUAAUAUUUUGAACCGCAUGGUUCAAAAGUGAAAGACGGUCUUGCUGUCACUUAUAGAUGGAUCCGCGCUGCAUUAGCUAGUUGGUAAGGUAACGGCUUACCAAGGCAACGAUGCAUAGCCGACCUGAGAGAGUGAUCGGCCACACUGGAACUGAGCCACGGUCCAGACUCCUACGGGAGGCAGCAGUAGGGAACCUUCCGCAAUGGGCGAAAGCCUGACGGAGCAACGCCGCGUGAGUGAUGAAGGUCUUCGGAUCGUAAAACUCUGUUAUUAGGGAAGAACAUAUGUGUAAGUAACUGUGCACAUCUUGACGGUACCUAAUCAGAAAGCCACGGCUAACUACGUG
RNAcentral lists this ribosomal RNA (497 nucleotides) under uncultured bacterium. RNAcentral's name for it is "partial 16S ribosomal RNA". It matches the Rfam family "Bacterial small subunit ribosomal RNA", at positions 28 to 507 of the family's 1533-position model. The record is from RNAcentral.